GACGAACGCUGGCGGCGUGCUUAACACAUGCAAGUCGAACGAAGUGGCGAACGGGUGAGUAACGCGUAAUCCACCUGCCCUUCAGAGGGGGACAACAGUUGGAAACGACUGCUAAUACCGCAUACUGAAGGAGGGGAUUGCGUUUGAUUAGCUAGUUUGAGGGGUAACGGACGACCAAGGCGAUGAUCAGUAGCCGGUCUGAGAGGAUGAACAGUCACAUUGGAACUGAGACACGGUGCAAACUCCUACGGGAGGCAGCAGUAGGGAAUAUUGCGCAAGGGGGGAAACCCUGACGCAGCAACGCCGCGUGGAGUAUGACACUUUUCGGAGCGUAAACUCAGGUUGUUAGGGAAGCGGUACCUAACGAAUAAGCACCGGCUAACUCCGUGCCAGCAGCCGCGGUAAUAC
This 408-nucleotide ribosomal RNA is filed under the name uncultured bacterium. RNAcentral's name for it is "partial 16S ribosomal RNA". It matches the Rfam family "Bacterial small subunit ribosomal RNA", at positions 28 to 526 of the family's 1533-position model. The record is from RNAcentral.